UGCAAGUCGAACGGUAACAGGUGUAGCAAUACACGCUGACGAGUGGCGCACGGGUGCGUAACACGUAUGCAACCUACCCACCACCGGGGGAUAACCCUGAGAAAUUAGGGCUAAUACCCCAUGGUAUCGAGAAACGGCAUCGUUUUUUGAUUAAAGAUUGAUCGGUGAUGGAUGGGCAUGCGCCCCAUUAGCUAGUUGGUGAGGUAACGGCUCACCAAGGCGACGAUGGGUAGGGGACCUGAGAGGGUUAUCCCCCACACUGGUACUGAGACACGGACCAGACUCCUACGGGAGGCAGCAGUAAGGAAUAUUGGACAAUGGGCGAGAGCCUGAUCCAGCAAUUCCGCGUGUAUGAAGAAGGCUUUCGGGUUGUAAAGUACUUUCAGCAGGGAAGAAGCAAGUGACGGUACCUGCAGAAGAAGCCACGGCUAAUUACGUGCCAGCAGCCGCGGUAAUACGUAAGUGGCAAGCGUUAUCCGGAAUCACUGGGCGUAAAGGGCAUCUAGGCGGCUAUGCAAGUCAGGGGUGAAAAGUCUGGGCUUAACCGAGGCCUUGCCUUUGAAACUGUAUAGCUAGAAUCCGGGAGAGGAGGGCGGAACUACAAGUGUAGCGGUGAAAUGCGUAGAUAUUUGUAGGAAUGCCAAUGACGAAGGUAGCUCUCUGGACCGGUAUUGACGCUGAAGUGCGAAAGCUAGGGGAGCAAACAGGAUUAGAUACCCUGGUAGUCCUAGCUGUAAACGAUGAUCACUGGGUGUGGGGGGUCCAACCUCUGUGCCGAAGCUAACGCGAUAAGUGAUCCGCCUGGGGAGUACGUCCGCAAGAAUGAAACUCAAAGGAAUUGACGGGGACCCGCACAAGCGGUGGAGCAUGUGGUAUAAUUCGACGCAACGCGAGGAACCUUACCAGGUCUUGACAUCGUACGAAUCUAGUAGAGAUAUGGGAGUGCCCUUCGGGAACCUGGAGACAGGGUGCUGCAUGGCUUGUCGUCAGCUUCGUGUCGUGAGAUGUUUGGGUUAAGUCCCC
RNAcentral lists this ribosomal RNA (1023 nucleotides) under uncultured bacterium. RNAcentral's name for it is "bacterial SSU rRNA". It matches the Rfam family "Bacterial small subunit ribosomal RNA", at positions 56 to 1089 of the family's 1533-position model. The record is from RNAcentral.